CCUUUUCUCAACGAUUUAGUCCAAACCGAUAUAUUUUAGUCUCAGAAAUACCCUUUUUAUCAAAACCGUGUACUAAAUUGUUGUCGAUUCAUUUUUUUAUGUUGUUCUCAAAGCUCUGCAAUGAAAACUAAAUAAUUCAGGGCUUAAUUGUUGAUCUCGUUUCAACCGAUUAUUCGAAGCUUUUCGACAGGAUUUGGUAUAUGAGAUCGUAAUCAAAUUUUGUUAUUCAAAAUCUCUGAAACUGAGAAGAGUAUUUAGGUUUAGUUGUUAAUCUCGAUUCAGCUGGAUUGAAUCUUAGCUAGUUUUUCUUAUUCUAGAUCUUACCCUAGACGGCAUAGUAGGAGGAAAAUGAAAACAGUUUGGUAAUGGAAUUACCUUAAACUGUUGUAGCAUGAUCUUAAUUUUGAAGAGAUGGAAGCCUUAUCAGUGGAUUUCUUGAAAAAACUUGAGCAAUUCACUCAACAGCCUGCAAAUCUAGGUUAUUUGGGGAAGACUACCAAAGUUGAAGCUCAGUUAGAAAUUACUUUGUUUUUAAAGUGAUGCCGCAUUGGGCUUUCUCAAAAUCACCCUUUCUUGAUAAAGUUGUUUAUGACACCAUUGCUGCUCACCAUUGCCUUUCACCAUUGAUGCUCACCGUGUCCAGAUAAGUGUAAAUAUAUUUUUUUACUCACAAAUGUAAAGUAAUAAGUAUCCGUCGUAUGGCGUGUCCGGCAGAACAGAUAUAUAUAGACCACAGAUAGUCUUAUACUAACCACCUGCUGUUAAAGUUUAUAAGGAACUCACAUAAGUAAAAUAAUAUGUCGCGUCUGCAAUACCCCAGACUAGCAUUAGUUAUAAGAAAUGGCCAUGAACACGUUAGGUUUUAUGUUAUGUGCUAGGUGAAUGUGAUCCUUAUACGAUUUCUAAAUAUAUGUGUCCCUGUAAGUGGAACUGACUACUCUCUAGUCAAGAAUGUCCUAACCGGUCUUUCCAAUGUUUUUUUUUCUUUUAACUAUUACCUCCCUUUUGGAAUUUGGUGAGAAAUUUGAAUUUAUCAUAGCAAUAGAAAAAAAUGAAUGGCCUAACCAUAAAAAAUGGAACCACAUUAGUUAGCUACAUCUAUUGCUUUAUAGUGCGAAGUGGUGGACGCGUACGCCUAGGAUAUUGAUUUGCCUCUUCAAAUGAAACCACCUCGCACCACAUGAAUGCAACCUCAUGCGGUGCCUUGGUACUUGAUGCUUAUUUAAAUGACAUCCGUGUUCCAAUAAGAAAUUGAUGAUUCACCCGAGUAUCAAUUGUUUAAGAUUCAUUGUACGUUAAUGUGUACAUAGUUGUACAACUGUUGAUUCUUGAUGUGUACAUAAUUGUACACCUUGAUUAAGUAAGGAUUAACUAAGUAAGGUGACUGCAAUCUCUUUUAGUACUUCCAAAUUUGGUUGCCUAUGACUGAGACAUUUUUACUUUUCUAUACCUUCUAGUUUCUAGGUUAGAAAGGAGAAACCGUGAUAUUUUGAAUAUGCUUAAUUUUGACGUUACCAAAAAAGAUGCUUCUUAGAGAGGGCUGAUACCCGAUAUUUGCAAAAUCCUAGGCUACAUUCAGCUUUUUAAUUUAUUAUCUGGCUCUUUAGUUAAUGAUUAGCUUACCAACACCAUACUAUGUAUCUAGGGGAAUGUGUACAUAGUUGUACACAUGUUGGUUCUUAAUGUGUAAAUAGUUGUACACAUGUUAACGUGCACAUUGUUGUAUACUCGUUGAUCGUUAAUGUGCACAUGAUCGUACACCUAUUAGUUAAUGCAUACUAACACUUUCAUUACUGCCAUAUAACUCUGCUCAAAGCGACAAGGGUAAUUCAUGGAUUCCAUAAUUCGACAUUGAUGAUCAAACAGAAUUGGUCGCAUUCGUUUGUGGGAUAAUCUUAAUGGUUGUUUACUGUAUUCUGGUUGUUUACUGUAUUCUUUUUGUUUGGAGAACUAAUUUUCUUAGUGAGCAAAGAUGUAUUAUAGGUUACCUUAAUGAUAAUGUUACUACAGGAACAUCAACAUCGACAAGGAAAGGAGGACUUGAUUUAAAAGUGAUUGUAAGGUUUCCGGUUUUUUCCUAUCAAGAAAACGAGUUGCAUCUCUGAAUAGUAAAGUUGGCAAGGUACUUUUGGAGGGAGCUUAAGAAAGUGGAGAAGAACAAUGGACAGGUUUUGUAGAUGGGUGAUUUUAUGGAUUUUCCGAUUUGAAUAACAUGCUUACUAUGUGUUUAGGUAUUUUUCGAGAGAGCUUAAGAAAGUGGAGAAGAAUAAUGGACAGGUUAACGAUUUUCAAGAUGUGUACAUGUUUGCACACCAGUGUAAACUAUGAUUUAAAAAAAAUGAGAAUUAUAUAGUCAUAUGGGUAUUUUUUUUGUAGCUCUCGGAAAGGGCUUUCCGAAUAUAUAAAGUUAGCAAAUUUUGGACAAA
Long non-coding RNA from Papaver somniferum (opium poppy), 2426 nucleotides. RefSeq lists it as uncharacterized. The record is from RefSeq and is a predicted model, not a curated record. The transcript has 4 exons. Lineage: Eukaryota; Viridiplantae; Streptophyta; Magnoliopsida; Ranunculales; Papaveraceae.